Molecule: RNase P RNA, 414 nt
Filed under: Beggiatoa sp. IS2
Lineage: Bacteria; Pseudomonadati; Pseudomonadota; Gammaproteobacteria; Thiotrichales; Thiotrichaceae
Description: RNase P RNA component class A
Rfam family: Bacterial RNase P class A
About the family: Ribonuclease P (RNase P) is a ubiquitous endoribonuclease, found in archaea, bacteria and eukarya as well as chloroplasts and mitochondria. Its best characterised activity is the generation of mature 5'-ends of tRNAs by cleaving the 5'-leader elements of precursor-tRNAs.
Source: RNAcentral
GAAGUGGGUUGGGCAAUCGCUGUACUCAAUCUUGAGUAGGGAGGAAAGUCCGGGCUUCACAGGACCGGGUGCCAGGUAACGCCUGGGAGGUGUAAACCUACGGAAAGUGCCACAGAAAAUAUACCGCCUUGCGAAAAUGCACGGUAAGGGUGAAAAGGUGUGGUAACCAGUUACUUAAUGUAAGAGCACACCGCGUCGAUGGUAACAUCGAUGGCAGGGUAAACCCCACCUGAAGUAAGACCAAAUAGAGGAAUCUGUUCAGUUGAAUAUAAUUGAAAGAGAUGGGGUCCGCAUCGUUCCAGGGUAGGUCGCUAGAGGUGUUUGGCGACAAACAUCCCAGAUGAAUGAUUGCCACCAAUACGCUUUGUAAUAGGCGUUUUUGUACAGAACCCGGCUUAUAGAUCCACUUCCGAU